RNAcentral lists this ribosomal RNA (253 nucleotides) under uncultured bacterium. RNAcentral's name for it is "partial 16S ribosomal RNA". It matches the Rfam family "Bacterial small subunit ribosomal RNA", at positions 524 to 776 of the family's 1533-position model. The record is from RNAcentral.
UACAGAGGGGGCAAGCGUUGUUCGGAAUUACUGGGCGUAAAGGGCGCGUAGGCGGCCUUCUAAGUCGAACGUGAAAUCCCCGGGCUCAACCCGGGAACUGCGUCCGAUACUGGAAGGCUUGAAUCCGGGAGAGGGAUGCGGAAUUCCAGGUGUAGCGGUGAAAUGCGUAGAUAUCUGGAGGAAUACCGGUGGCGAAGGCGGCAUCCUGGACCGACAUUGACGCUGAACGGCGAAAGCUAGGGGAGCAAACGGG